Molecule: long non-coding RNA, 1130 nt
Filed under: Coturnix japonica (Japanese quail)
Lineage: Eukaryota; Metazoa; Chordata; Aves; Galliformes; Phasianidae
Description: lncRNA (ENSCJPG00005016992.1)
Source: RNAcentral
CUGUGGAGCUAAGUAUAAUUUUUGAGUAAUCCUGUGGGAAACUGUGAGUUGGACUCAAUGAUCCUUGUGAGGCUCUUCCAACUUGGAAUAUUCUAUGACUCUAUGAAGGUGGGGUGGAGGCAGUUAAUCAAGCUGACAUUUAACAGAAGGGAGCAAAGAACCAAGGCCAGAAUUAAGUGUUUCAUUCCUUAUCUAUGACAACAGGGGAGUAAGCUGUCCCUUUUCCUUAUCAAGCACAUGGGGAUACGUUUUACUGUAUCCUCUUUUGCCAAAGGUUAAUGAAAACAGAUCUGAGGAGACCGCAGUUGUCAGUAAGCUGCCUUCAGAUGCCCCACCGUACAUGCCAGCUCAGUGUGCUGCCACUAGUGCCUCACUAAGCCUACAGGAUCCUUAAGUAAGGACUCACUAAUGUGUACGGGAUCCUUAGCAUUCAAAAGGUUCAUUCUCAGACCAUCGUGAGGAUCACUCAGAAAGGGAGGAAAAAAAAAAAAAAAAAAAAAAAAAGAAAAAAAAGAAAAAAAAGAAAAAAAAGAUAACAACCGUGGUGUUUUUAAGUUGUUACGAGACACUUGGCUACCAGCUGCGAGGUUCCCCCGGCAAGGAAGCCGAAAUACCCCCUCUGCGCCUUCCCGUUCUGCUGCCCAGGGUCUGUUCGCAGCGAUGGAAAAGCUGCACGGAUAGCGGUUCGGUUCUCGAGGGUUGCUGACUGCUGCCUGUCCCUUGGCGGCCCUGGGGGCCUAUUUGCUUGCUAAUUGCUCCUCUCGCAUCGAUUGGGCGGGGGCGGGGGGCGCCGGCUGCUCUAUUUCAGGGCGGACGGCGGCGCCGGGCACCUGCCCUGUCCCGUCCCAGUCUUCUUGGACGUGCCGAUCCCUCCGCCCCUGCCCUGUUCAUCCCGCGUAGCUCCCUCACCUCUCUCCGCAGCCCCGUACAUGGCUGACGCGGGGCUCCCCGGGCCCGCUGCCUCUGCCGGUGGGGACCCCGCCGCCGACGAGUUCCGAGACAUCAUCCGCAGCCGCUCCGGGCUGCCAUUCAGCAAUUAUCAGCCCUGUGACACUACAGGCUCAAACUACAGGCAUUGUAAGUUUUCUGCUUGCCCUCCAACCAUCCCUACCUAUUGCCCAUCUACACUG